This is a long non-coding RNA of Salvia miltiorrhiza (redroot sage), 1434 nucleotides long. RefSeq lists it as uncharacterized. Lineage: Eukaryota; Viridiplantae; Streptophyta; Magnoliopsida; Lamiales; Lamiaceae. The record is from RefSeq and is a predicted model, not a curated record. The transcript has 2 exons.
UUUUGGGAUCUAACACUACAAAAAACCACUGUAUACUAACGGAAUCAUUGGUGGCGCGACUUCUGUGGGUAAUCACUGAUGGCUUUCUGGCGAAUCUAUGACGAAGUUUUUUUCUGCUUUUUCCGCGUGAAUUACCUAUGGAAUCACUGACGGGUAAAACUUCUGAUGGAAAGCCGGAAAAACUGUUGCCGAUGAAGCUUUACCGUUGGUAGUCUGUCGGUGUUUGUUUUAGUAAAAUAGGCCUCGGGCUUUUUCCCUUUCAGAUUUGGUGCCCUAACUUCAAAAUUCUCCUCCGACGAAUCGAGAGCUCUUCAUUUCGAUGAUCGAGAGCUCUUCACGUCUUUAUCUCUCUCGCUCUCUUCUCUAUCUCUAUCUCUCUUAUGCUCUCACUCACUCUCUUUGUGUUUCUCGCACAGGUGUUAUAUGUCCGUCACUGAGUCAUCCCACCACCGCCGCUGAAACUGUGCCGCCACCGCUGAAACCACGCCGUCUAUCCUGCCAGGCCUCGAAUAUCUUCUCUCCAUGCUUUCUUCCAACCACAGUGAACCCAACUUAUGCCGUUGUAGACAACAUCGUCGAAGUGUCGUAGCCAAAGAAGUCGAAGCCCAGCACCGGGUACACAUCGGCGAAGACGAAGCUCAUUUGUAUGUUGUGGGUGGAGGCUACCCACAACCCAAUUACGGGAAUGGAGAAAAAGGGAACCCAAUAUUGGGGAGAUAUCACCAGAAAAUACAACGAUGAUCGGUAUGAUGGGGCUCAUGUUCGUGACAAGAAACAGAUCAAACCUCACUUUCAACGCGAUCAAAAGGAUGUCAAGGUGUGGGAGGCGAUUUACGAGAAAUGUAAAGCCAAUUGUGCUAGCGGAAUAAAUGAUGAGCAAAUAACUGAACAAGCACAUGAGAUCUACGAGGCCAACAAUUCAAUGAGAUUCAAGCACUUUGAAGCUUGGAUGCUUUUGCGCGAAUGUCAGCGGUUCGCUCGUUGAAGAAGUCGAAGGGCUCGGAAGGACAGGCCACGACAACAUCUUCUGAGCCAAGUAUCACGACGAGGCCCCAAGGCCAGAAUGCGGCAAAGCGCGACAAAGGCAAGUGAAAAAAGUGGAGUCAUCAACGGAGAAGACUCAAUACUACGAAGCAAUGAAACGUGUUUCCAAAGGAAUCGAGGUAUUUACCACCUCAACCAAUUCUCUCGCCGAAGCAAAAUCCAAAGUCGUUGAAGUAAAAUAAAAGUUGUCGAUGUGAAAAGGGAGACGCUCGAUUACAAAAUCCUCAAUACGGAUACUUCAAAUAUGUCAGAAAUGCAUUUGGCAUGGCACAAGAACAUGCUCAAAGAAGUGCUCAAGCGUAGAGGAUUGAUGUAGUCUAGAUUAAAUUAUUGUAAUUUUUUUAAUUAAUGUAAUUUUGAAUUUUAAUUACUAAAUUAUUAUAAUUUUUA